Molecule: long non-coding RNA, 302 nt
Filed under: Catharus ustulatus (Swainson's thrush)
Lineage: Eukaryota; Metazoa; Chordata; Aves; Passeriformes; Turdidae
Description: lncRNA (ENSCUSG00005000064.1)
Source: RNAcentral
AUGGAGAACAAGCUUGUUAAGAAGGAUUACACGGAGGAGUCCAGAGAUGUAUGUGGAUGGAAGUCAGGAGUGUUUCAUGAACCCAAAGACCAGCUGGAAAAUCAAAAAAGCUCAAAAAAUGAGUCUGGAAGAAAAUUGGUGAAUUCAAUCCAGAGGACCUACAAGCACUCUGACAGGCUCAGAGAGCAGAGUCUGUACCAAAGAGCAAUUACCCCACCAAACGAUUUCAGGUACAAUUGACCUAAAUAUAGCACUCUCUUGAGAUUAUUGACAAGAGUUCAUUUCCUGUAGUGCUUUUCCCA